Molecule: ribosomal RNA, 856 nt
Filed under: uncultured bacterium
Lineage: Bacteria
Description: bacterial SSU rRNA
Rfam family: Bacterial small subunit ribosomal RNA
Source: RNAcentral
UACGGAGGGUGCAAGCGUUACUCGGAAUCACUGGGCGUAAAGCGCAUGCAGGCGGUUUAAUAAGUUGGAAGUGAAAUCCUAUGGCUCAACCAUAGAACUGCUUCCAAAACUGUUAAACUAGAGUCUGGGAGGGGAAGAUGGAAUUAGUAGUGUAGGGGUAAAAUCCGUAGAGAUUACUAGGAAUACCAAAAGCGAAGGCGAUCUUCUGGAACAGUACUGACGCUGAGAUGCGAAAGCGUGGGGAGCAAACAGGAUUAGAUACCCUGGUAGUCCACGCAGUAAACGAUGAAUGUUAGUCGUUGGGUCUCUAGUAGAUUCAGUGAUGCAGUUAACACAUUAAACAUUCCGCCUGGGGAGUACGGUCGCAAGAUUAAAACUCAAAGGAAUAGACGGGGACCCGCACAAGUGGUGGAGCAUGUGGUUUAAUUCGAAGAUACGCGAAGAACCUUACCUAGCCUUGACAUAUUUUAGAAUUCACCAGAGAUGGAGAAGUGCCUUCGGGAGCUAAUAUACAGGUGCUGCACGGCUGUCGUCAGCUCGUGUCGUGAGAUGUUGGGUUAAGUCCCGCAACGAGCGCAACCCUCGUCACUAGUUACUAACGAUUCGGUCGAGGACUCUAGUGAGACUGCCUUCGUAAGGAGGAGGAAGGUGAGGACGACGUCAAGUCAUCAUGGCCCUUACGGCUAGGGCAACACACGUGCUACAAUGGUUAGGACAAUGAGAAGCAAUAUCGCGAGGUGGAGCAAAUCUAUAAACCUAAUCUCAGUUCGGAUUGUAGUCUGCAACUCGACUACAUGAAGCUGGAAUCACUAGUAAUCGUAGAUCAGCUAUGCUACGGUGAAUACGUUCCCGGGUC